UGCGGAGGGAUCAUUACACAACAAAAAUAUGAGGGUGUGGUUUGCUGGCAACAGCGUCCGCCCCAAGUAUUUUUCACCCAUGUCUUUUGCGCACUUUUUGUUUCCUGGGCGAGUUCGCUCGCCACCAGGACCCAACCAUAAACCUUUUUUUAUGCAGUUGCAAUCAGCGUCAGUAUAAUAAUUCAAUUUAUUAAAACUUUCAACAACGGAUCUCUUGGUUCUGGCAUCGAUGAAGAACGCAGCGAAAUGCGAUACGUAGUGUGAAUUGCAGAAUUCAGUGAAUCAUCGAAUCUUUGAACGCACAUUGCGCCCUUUGGUAUUCCAAAGGGCAUGCCUGUUCGAGCGUCAUUUGUACCCUCAAGCUUUGCUUGGUGUUGGGCGUCUUUUUGUCUCUCCCCUUGUUGGGGGAGACUCGCCUUAAAACGAUUGGCAGCCGACCUACUGGUUUUCGGAGCGCAGCACAAAUUUGCGCCUUCCAAUCCACGGGGCGGCAUCCAGCAAGCCUUUGUUUUCUAUAACAAAUCCACAUUUUGACCUCGGAUCAGGUAGGGAUACCCGCUGAACUUAAGCAUAUCAAUAAGCCGGAGGAA
Molecule: ribosomal RNA, 590 nt
Filed under: Exserohilum sp. BAB-4662
Lineage: Eukaryota; Fungi; Ascomycota; Dothideomycetes; Pleosporales; Pleosporaceae
Description: eukaryotic LSU rRNA
Rfam family: 5.8S ribosomal RNA (bases 195-348)
Source: RNAcentral